CGCGUAGGCGGUUUGAUCAGUUAGGCGUGAAAUUCCUGGGCUUAACCUGGGGACUGCGCUUAAUACGGUCGAGCUUGAGUUCGGAAGAGGGUAGUGGAAUUCCCAGUGUAGAGGUGAAAUUCGUAGAUAUUGGGAAGAACACCGGUGGCGAAGGCGGCUACCUGGUCCGAUACUGACGCUGAGGCGCGAAAGCGUGGGGAGCAAACAGGAUUAGAUACCCUGGUAGUCCACGCUGUAAACGAUGUGUGCUGGAUGUUGGGCGACCUAGUCGCUCAGUGUCGUAGCUAACGCGAUAAGCACACCGCCUGGGGAGUACGGCCGCAAGGUUGAA
This 331-nucleotide ribosomal RNA is filed under the name uncultured bacterium. RNAcentral describes it as "bacterial SSU rRNA". It matches the Rfam family "Bacterial small subunit ribosomal RNA", at positions 568 to 898 of the family's 1533-position model. The record is from RNAcentral.